Molecule: ribosomal RNA, 492 nt
Filed under: uncultured bacterium
Lineage: Bacteria
Description: partial 16S ribosomal RNA
Rfam family: Bacterial small subunit ribosomal RNA
Source: RNAcentral
AGUGAACGCUGGCGGUAGGCCUAACACAUGCAAGUCGAACGGCAGCACAGUAAGAGCUUGCUCUUACGGGUGGCGAGUGGCGGACGGGUGAGGAAUACAUCGGAAUCUACUUUUUCGUGGGGGAUAACGUAGGGAAACUUACGCUAAUACCUCAUACGACCUACGGGUGAAAGCAGGGGAUCUUCGGACCUUGCGCGAUUGAAUGAGCCGAUGUCGGAUUAGCUAGUUGGCGUGGUAAAGGCCCACCAAGGCGACGAUCCGUAGCUGGUCUGAGAGGAUGAUCGGCCACACUGGAACUGAGACACGGUCCAGACUCCUACGGGAGGCAGCAGUGGGGAAUAUUGGGCAAUGGGCGAAAGCCUGACGCAGCAAUGCCGCGUGGGUGAAGAAGGCCUUCGGGUCGUAAAACUCUUUUGUUAGGGAAGAAAAGAUGUGGAAGUAAACACGCCUGUUUUGACGGUACCUAAAGAGAAAGCAACGGCUAACUUCGUG